UGGAAGAUGAUCUUCAUACAAACUCUGACUUAUUAUUCCCAUUGAAUCAAUAAUUUACCAGGCAGUAUAUAUCUUUCUCUUUAAUCGAUUCAUAUACAUUAUUAUUUCUUGUUUUAUGAUUAUUAUGUUGCUUCUUAUGUUUCUCUUCAUAGGAGCAACCUCAGAGAAGUAUGGUUGUAUACGACCUCAGAGCCUCUCACUCUCUUAGCCCUCAUUCAAUCAUUCUUCAGCCCUAAAUUUCUAAUCCUUAAUCCAAAAAAUUCAAUCCCAGCCGAUCUUCAUCUUCGAUUUUGGCCACUCAGUCAAUUCUGGCUGGUGAGAGUCAUUGCUUGUGCUCAUCGAUAUCCUGCCUCUUCAUAUCAAUCUCUCUGAUGUUGUGUUCGAUGAUAAAAUUGAGGUCAUGCAAAUCAAUCAUUUCCAGGGUAUCACAGUUGGAAGUAACUCACUACACCAAGAUGACAGUUGAUAGAUUGUGCUCGCCACACCAAGGAAUCCACCAAGAAGAUAAGAGCACCUGAGAGGAUAAGGAAGGGAAAACAGCUUCACCAAGAUUUCUUAGUUCUAAGGUCUGGAAACUCCAUUUCUGAUUUGAAUGUUCCUUGGAAUUCAUUUCCUUCAAUUAAUGUUGCUAAUCCUCUGUCACGCCCAG
This is a long non-coding RNA of Rosa rugosa (rugosa rose), 649 nucleotides long. RefSeq lists it as uncharacterized. The transcript is spliced from 3 exons. The record is from RefSeq and is a predicted model, not a curated record. NCBI's taxonomy places the organism in Eukaryota, Viridiplantae, Streptophyta, Magnoliopsida, Rosales, Rosaceae.